AGAGUUUGAUCCUGGCUCAGGAUGAACGCUAGCUACAGGCUUAACACAUGCAAGUCGAGGGGUAACAAGAGGAAAGCUUGCUUUUCUUGUUGACGACCGGCGCACGGGUGAGUAACGCGUAUCCAACCUGCCUAUAACUAGGGAAUAACCUUGCGAAAGUAAGACUAAUGCCCUAUGAUUUCCUUUGAUGGCAUCAGAUUAGGAAUAAAGAUUUAUCGGUUAUAGAUGGGGAUGCGUCUGAUUAGCUUGUUGGCGGGGUAACGGCCCACCAAGACAACGAUGGAUAGGGGAACUGAGAGGUUUGUCCCCCACACUGGAACUGAGACACGGUCCAGACUCCUACGGGAGGCAGCAGUGAGGAAUAUUGGUCAAUGGAGGAAACUCUGAACCAGCCAAGUCGCGUGAAGGAUGACUGCCCUACGGGUUGUAAACUUCUUUUUUAAGGGAAUAAAGUGAGCCACGUGUGGCUUUUUGCACGUACCUUACGAAUAAGGAUCGGCUAACUCCGUGCCAGCAGCCGCGGUAAUACGGAGGAUCCGAGCGUUAUCCGGAUUUAUUGGGUUUAAAGGGUGCGCAGGCGGAAUAUUAAGUCGGCGGUGAAAAGUUUGCAGCUUAACUGUAAAAUUGCCGUUGAUACUGGUAUUCUUGGAGGGAUAUGAAGUAAGCGGGAAUUUGAAUGGUAGCGGUGAAAAGGCAUAAAUUUUUACAAGGAAACUCCGAAUUGCAAAGGCAGCU
Molecule: ribosomal RNA, 735 nt
Filed under: uncultured bacterium
Lineage: Bacteria
Description: bacterial SSU rRNA
Rfam family: Bacterial small subunit ribosomal RNA
Source: RNAcentral